UGCCAGCCGCCGCGGUAAUACGGAGGGUGCAAGCGUUAUCCGGAUUUAUUGGGUUUAAAGGGUGCGCAGGCGGAACUUUAAGUCAGUGGUGAAAUCUUGCCGCUUAACGGUAAAAUUGCCACUGAUACCGGAUUUCUUGAAUUAGUGUGAAGUGGUUAGAAUGUGUAGUGUAGCGGUGAAAUGCAUAGAUAUUACACAGAAUACCAAUUGCGAAGGCAGAUCACUAACACUAUAUUGACGCUAAGGGACGAAAGCGUGGGGAGCGAACGGGAUUAGAUG
This 279-nucleotide ribosomal RNA is filed under the name uncultured bacterium. RNAcentral's name for it is "partial 16S ribosomal RNA". It matches the Rfam family "Bacterial small subunit ribosomal RNA", at positions 506 to 784 of the family's 1533-position model. The record is from RNAcentral.